CCUACGGGGGGCAGCAGUCGAGAAUCAUUCACAAUGGGGGAAACCCUGAUGGUGCGACGCCGCGUGGGGGAAUGAAGGUCUUCGGAUUGUAAACCCCUGUCAUGUGGGAGCAAAUUAAAAAGAUCGUACCACAAUAGGAAGAGACGGCUAACUCUGUGCCAGCAGCCGCGGUAAUACAGAGGUCUCAAGCGUUGUUCGGAAUCACUGGGCGUAAAGCGUGCGUAGGCUGUUUCGUAAGUCGUGUGUGAAAGGCGCGGGCUCAACCCGCGGACGGCACAUGAUACUGCGAGACUAGAGUAAGGGAGGGGGAACCGGAAUUCUCGGUGUAGCAGUGAAAUGCGUAGAUAUCGAGAGGAACACUCGUGGCGAAGGCGGGUUCCUGGACAGUAACUGACGCUGAGGCACGAAGGCCAGGGGAGCGAAAGGGAUUAGAUACCCUAGUAGUC
RNAcentral lists this ribosomal RNA (446 nucleotides) under uncultured bacterium. RNAcentral describes it as "partial 16S ribosomal RNA". It matches the Rfam family "Bacterial small subunit ribosomal RNA", at positions 338 to 795 of the family's 1533-position model. The record is from RNAcentral.